Mya arenaria is the source of this 279-nucleotide long non-coding RNA. RefSeq lists it as uncharacterized. Lineage: Eukaryota; Metazoa; Mollusca; Bivalvia; Myida; Myidae. The record is from RefSeq and is a predicted model, not a curated record. The transcript has 3 exons.
ACAAUAAAGUUAAGUCAGCAACCGUCUACCAGACUGCAAGAUUCAUCUCUUCCAAAGGAUGUCGUACCUUUCCAGAUACACUGUGUUUUGUGUGGAUAAGAAAUGCAGAGUGGUACCACCAAUCACCUAAGCCACCAUUCCCCUAACAGACAAUAGGCUCAUGGGGACAGUUCCUGCAAUUUACAGAAAAGCUCUCAAUUGUAGCCCUACGAACUUCAGAUACUGCCGAUGGUGAAGCUUGGGUGCACCGGGCCGGUUUUCCAGCCGUGUGGAAUCAAC